Molecule: ribosomal RNA, 568 nt
Filed under: uncultured bacterium
Lineage: Bacteria
Description: partial 16S ribosomal RNA
Rfam family: Bacterial small subunit ribosomal RNA
Source: RNAcentral
UGGGGAAUAUUGCACAAUGGCGAAAGCCUGAUGCAGCGACGCCGCGUGAGGGAUGACGGCCUUCGGGUUGUAAACCUCUUUCAGCAGGGAAGAAGCGAAAGUGACGGUACCUGCAGAAGAAGCGCCGGCUAACUACGUGCCAGCAGCCGCGGUAAUACGUAGGGCGCAAGCGUUGUCCGGAAUUAUUGGGCGUAAAGAGCUCGUAGGCGGUUAGUCGCGUCUGCUGUGAAAACUCGAGGCUCAACCUCGGGCUUGCAGUGGGUACGGGCUGACUAGAGUGCGGUAGGGGUGACUGGAAUUCCUGGUGCAGCGGUGGAAUGCGCAGAUAUCAGGAGGAACACCGAUGGCGAAGGCGAGGUCACUGGGCCGCAACUGACGCUGAGGAGCGAAAGCAUGGGGAGCGAACAGGAUUAGAUACCCUGGUAGUCCAUGCCGUAAACGUUGGGCACUAGGUGUGGGGUCCAUUCCACGGAUUCCGUGCCGCAGCAAACGCAUUAAGUGCCCCGCCUGGGGAGUACGGCCGCAAGGCUAAAACUCAAAUGAAUUGACGGGGUCAUAGCUGUUUCCU